Molecule: ribosomal RNA, 468 nt
Filed under: uncultured bacterium
Lineage: Bacteria
Description: partial 16S ribosomal RNA
Rfam family: Bacterial small subunit ribosomal RNA
Source: RNAcentral
GACGAACGCUGGCGGCGUGCUUAACACAUGCAAGUCGAACGGAAAGGCCCUGCUUUUGUGGGGUGCUCGAGUGGCGAACGGGUGAGUAACACGUGAGUAACCUGCCCUUGACUUUGGGAUAACUUCAGGAAACUGGGGCUAAUCCCGGAUAGGAGCUCCUGCUGCGUGGUGGGGGUUGGAAAGUUUCGGCGGGUGGGGAUGGACUCGCGGCUUAUCAGCUUGUUGGUGGGGUAGUGGCUUACCAAGGCUUUGACGGGUAGCCGGCCUGUGAGGGUGACCGGCCACAUUGGGACUGAGAUACGGCCCAGACUCCUACGGGAGGCAGCAGUGGGGAGUAUUGCACAAUGGGCGGAAGCCUGAUGCAGCAACGCCGCGUGCGGGAUGACGGCCUUCGGGUUGUAAACCGCUUUCGCCUGUGACGAGGCGUGAGUGACGGUAAUGGGUAAAGAAGCACCGGCUAACUACGUG